This 1039-nucleotide unclassified non-coding RNA is filed under the name Zea mays. RNAcentral describes it as "misc RNA Zm00001eb375610". Lineage: Eukaryota; Viridiplantae; Streptophyta; Magnoliopsida; Poales; Poaceae. The record is from RNAcentral.
AUACCCGACGCGCAAGCCAGUGCCGCACCCAGACCAGAUCUCCGCGACAUAUCAGUCGUUCGUCCAGCUAACUGCACUGCACUGCACUGCACGCAAUGGCCACCACGGCGACCGAGGCGGCCAAGGCUGCACCGGCGCAGGAGCAGCAGGCCAACGGCAACGGCAACGGCGAGCAGAAGACGCGCCACUCCGAGGUCGGCCACAAGAGCCUGCUCAAGAGCGACGACCUGUACCAGUACAUCCUGGACACGAGCGUGUACCCGCGGGAGCCGGAGAGCAUGAAGGAGCUGCGCGAGAUCACCGCCAAGCACCCAUGGAACCUGAUGACCACCUCCGCCGACGAGGGCCAGUUCCUCAACAUGCUCAUCAAGCUCAUCGGCGCCAAGAAGACCAUGGAGAUCGGCGUCUACACCGGCUACUCGCUCCUCGCCACCGCGCUCGCACUCCCGGAGGACGGCACGAUCUUGGCCAUGGACAUCAACCGCGAGAACUACGAGCUAGGCCUUCCCUGCAUCAACAAGGCCGGCGUGGGCCACAAGAUCGACUUCCGCGAGGGCCCCGCGCUCCCCGUCCUGGACGACCUCGUGGCGGACAAGGAGCAGCACGGGUCGUUCGACUUCGCCUUCGUGGACGCCGACAAGGACAACUACCUCAGCUACCACGAGCGGCUCCUGAAGCUGGUGAGGCCCGGCGGCCUCAUCGGCUACGACAACACGCUGUGGAACGGCUCCGUCGUGCUCCCCGACGACGCGCCCAUGCGCAAGUACAUCCGCUUCUACCGCGACUUCGUCCUCGCCCUCAACAGCGCGCUCGCCGCCGACGACCGCGUCGAGAUCUGCCAGCUCCCCGUCGGCGACGGCGUCACGCUCUGCCGCCGCGUCAAGUGAAAAAAAGAAGAAGAAGAAAAAAAACAUAAUACCCUGCGUUCCUGCUGCCCCGGCUGUCUGGCCCCCACUACUGCCACCGACGGCGGCGCCGAACCCCCGUUCCAAUCAUCAUAUCGUAGACGACGCGCAGCAUUAAACUAUCAAUCACCGGA